AUUGAACGCUGGCGGCAGGCCUAACACAUGCAAGUCGAGCGGUAACAGGGAGUAGCUUGCUACUCCGCUGACGAGCGGCGGACGGGUGAGUAAUGUCUGGGGAUCUGCCUGAUGGAGGGGGAUAACUACUGGAAACGGUAGCUAAUACCGCAUAACGUCGCAAGACCAAAGAGGGGGACCUUCGGGCCUCUUGCCAUCGGAUGAACCCAGAUGGGAUUAGCUAGUAGGUGGGGUAAUGGCUCACCUAGGCGACGAUCCCUAGCUGGUCUGAGAGGAUGACCAGCCACACUGGAACUGAGACACGGUCCAGACUCCUACGGGAGGCAGCAGUGGGGAAUAUUGCACAAUGGGCGCAAGCCUGAUGCAGCCAUGCCGCGUGUGUGAAGAAGGCCUUCGGGUUGUAAAGCACUUUCAGCGAGGAGGAAGGCAUUAAGGUUAAUAACCUUGGUGAUUGACGUUACUCGCAGAAGAAGCACCGGCUAACUCCGUGCCAGCAGCCGCGGUAAUACGGAGGGUGCAAGCGUUAAUCGGAAUUACUGGGCGUAAAGCGCACGCAGGCGGUUUGUUAAGUCGGAUGUGAAAUCCCCGGGCUCAACCUGGGAACUGCAUUCGAAACUGGCAAGCUUGAGUCUUGUAGAGGGGGGUAGAAUUCCAGGUGUAGCGGUGAAAUGCGUAGAGAUCUGGAGGAAUACCGGUGGCGAAGGCGGCCCCCUGGACAAAGACUGAC
This 727-nucleotide ribosomal RNA is filed under the name Cedecea sp. RNAcentral's name for it is "bacterial SSU rRNA". It matches the Rfam family "Bacterial small subunit ribosomal RNA", at positions 28 to 744 of the family's 1533-position model. The record is from RNAcentral. Lineage: Bacteria; Pseudomonadati; Pseudomonadota; Gammaproteobacteria; Enterobacterales; Enterobacteriaceae.